Non-coding RNA from Oryctolagus cuniculus (rabbit), 562 nucleotides. NCBI's taxonomy places the organism in Eukaryota, Metazoa, Chordata, Mammalia, Lagomorpha, Leporidae. The record is from RefSeq and is a predicted model, not a curated record.
GUGUUUCAAAUUAAUUCAGAUACCUCAUUUUUAGAACACAGAAUAACUGCAGGAACAAUGAACUGGCUCUUCCGGAAUUCAGUCCUCUUAGGCCUGACACACUCAGAAGAGAUGAAGGGCUGCGUAGACAAAGCCUCUGCGGCCUGGGGCAGAUGACGACAUGCUAGGGAUUCAAAACCUGCUUAUUUGGACAUGGCUGUCUGCACAGUCAAGUUCACCUGUUCAACAAUCGUUGGGCUUUUUGGUUUAGGAAGCUGGAAGACGUUUUGAGCUGGCGUUGGCAGCGGACGUUAGUUGUUAUCCCGGAUUUCUGUUCAACUGGUUUGCUCUGUGUGCCACUUGUCAUCAGGGAGGUGUCAGCAGUGCGCAGCUCUCCAAAAACUAAGAUUGACACCAUUGUGUUCAACAAAGGGUGGGCUUUUUGUGCUGAAGGGUCAUCUUGAGCUGCUACAGACCUUGAACUCCAGCCAACCUCCAAGCCGAGGCGCAGCGGGCAGGAGGACCGGUGACAGGGCCGGCAUCUGUAUGUGUGUCUGAACUGCCCACUAAUGAAGCAAGUCUU